This 497-nucleotide ribosomal RNA is filed under the name uncultured bacterium. RNAcentral describes it as "partial 16S ribosomal RNA". It matches the Rfam family "Bacterial small subunit ribosomal RNA", at positions 28 to 507 of the family's 1533-position model. The record is from RNAcentral.
GAUGAACGCUGGCGGCGUGCCUAAUACAUGCAAGUCGAGCGAACGGACGAGAAGCUUGCUCCUCUGAUGUUAGCGGCGGACGGGUGAGUAACACGUGGAUAACCUACCUAUAAGACUGGGAUAACUUCGGGAAACCGGAGCUAAUACCGGAUAAUAUUUUGAACCGCAUGGUUCAAAAGUGAAAGACGGUCUUGCUGUCACUUAUAGAUGGAUCCGCGCUGCAUUAGCUAGUUGGUAAGGUAACGGCUUACCAAGGCAACGAUGCGUAGCCGACCUGAGAGGGUGAUCGGCCACACUGGAACUGAGACACGGUCCAGACUCCUACGGGAGGCAGCAGUAGGGAAUCUUCCGCAAUGGGCGAAGGCCUGACGGAGCAACGCCGCGUGAGUGAUGAAGGUCUUCGGAUCGUAAAACUCUGUUAUUAGGGAAGAACAAAUGUGUAAGUAACUAUGCACGUCUUGACGGUACCUAAUCAGAAAGCCACGGCUAACUACGUG